This 240-nucleotide long non-coding RNA is filed under the name Panax ginseng (ginseng). RNAcentral describes it as "long non-coding RNA (PGIN_LNC002128)". Lineage: Eukaryota; Viridiplantae; Streptophyta; Magnoliopsida; Apiales; Araliaceae. The record is from RNAcentral.
CUGAAAACCCAUCUUCCUUUACGAGUCUAAGUAUGUCCCUGAACUUCUUCUCUGACUUCUCAAACGAUUUGGUUCCAAGUUGAAUGCCGGUAAUAACUUGCCAGUUCUCCAUUUGAAUCGUUCGAAGACUGUGGGUGUUAGAUUUAGAGAGAUUUAUGCGAGAUGGCUGUCUGGUUGGUAAGGCUCUGGGGGUUAACUGAUUUUGCUCUUGAAAAGCUUUCUAGGGUUUUGAAAAUGGGA